Molecule: long non-coding RNA, 823 nt
Organism: Hermetia illucens (black soldier fly)
Lineage: Eukaryota; Metazoa; Arthropoda; Insecta; Diptera; Stratiomyidae
Exons: 2
Source: RefSeq, a predicted model, not a curated record
AAGACGAAAUCUGAAUCUGUUUUUCUUUCCACGGAGCAUCGAGUUGCUUGUACACUACGCUGUUAUUUCAGCUUUGUUUUUACUAGUAAUAUUCAUCGCUCAUAUGGAAUUGUACAUAUCUGAAGCGGGACGGAUUGAAGGUGUUCCAGAAGAUACAUGGCAGGCCUGCAGGCGGUGACGAGACACACGUUCGCAAUGUGAUAUAAUUACUUCUCACCUGGUCUUGGAGUUAGAUCGCUUAGACUUUGUACCGUUGUUCAGGAAAUGUGUCGACUUCAGCUUAGUUUUGUUUUGAGAGAAAUCUAACAAUAACAAAACAGUUUCAUAUAGAAAAGCGAAGCCAAAACAAACAUUGUGGUGGCAAAACAACAAGUCCAUAAAGGUAAAAUUACGUAAUGAUAAGGCCGAGUGGUGGCCGCCAGCGUUUCGAUUUCACAGACAGACACACAGACUGGCCUGGCUCGGGCUUAGCUCAGACUGACUUCAAAACAAACCUUCGGAAAAUCUUGUUGCAUAGGCAUUCACAUAAACAGUGGAAAUUGUUUAUUUUCAGUGCGUUUUCCUCCGACAUGCCCGACUUUUGCAUUGUAGUUUUGCUUUUGAUAUUGUUAUUUUUAUGAUUUUACUCGGUUGCAACUGUCUGCCUCGGAUUACUAUGCUAUGCAAUUAAGAGAGAAAUUGGGACAUGGUUGGUGACAUAACUGAAUUACAUGCAAGGUAUGUCAUCACGAAGUUAGUCGUAACACCAGCCGUUGGACGGGUAAAUAAGUCAAACUAAAAAAUAGUUCUACAUGCAUGAACACCGAAUAAAGUAUAAUUUAAG